AAAGGAUUCUCAAUAGAAAGAUCAAUAGAAUACUAACAGAUGAUUUUGUUGUUGAGAUAAAACCUGAUCUGAAGUUAGUUGGGGAAACAUUGUCCGGCCAUCUCCUCCCAUCUCUCAUAUCAGACAUGUUAUAAAUGUCCUCCCAUCUCUCAUAUCAGACGUGUUAUAAAUGUCCUCCCAUCUCUCAUAUCAGACGUGUGAUAUAAAUGUCCUCCCAUCUCUCAUAUCAGACGUCUUAUAAAUGUCCUCCAAUCUCUCAUAUCAGACACGUGGUAUGAAUGUCCUCCCAUCUCUCAUAUCAGACGUGUUAUAAAUGUCCUCCCAUCUCUCAUAUCAGACACGUGAUAUAUAUGUCCUCCCAUCUCUCAUAUCAGACACGUGUUAUAAAUGUCCUCCCCUCUCUCAUAUCAGACACGUGUUAUAAAUGUCCUCCCAUCUCUAUUAUCAGACGUGAUAUAAAUGUCCUCCCAUCUCUCAUAUCAGACGUGUUAUAAAUGUCCUCCCAUCUCUCAUAUCAGACGUGAUAUAAAUGUCCUCCCAUCUCUCAUAUCAGACGUGUUAUAUAUGUCCUCCCA
Molecule: long non-coding RNA, 575 nt
Filed under: Salmo salar (Atlantic salmon)
Lineage: Eukaryota; Metazoa; Chordata; Actinopteri; Salmoniformes; Salmonidae
Description: lncRNA (ENSSSAG00000117550.1)
Source: RNAcentral